GGGCGGUUAGCUCAGCUGGGAGAGCACCUGCCUUACAAGCAGGGGGUCGCAGGUUCGAGCCCUGCACCGCCCA
RNAcentral lists this transfer RNA (73 nucleotides) under Gaiellaceae bacterium. RNAcentral's name for it is "tRNA-Val". It matches the Rfam family "tRNA". Rfam says of the family: Transfer RNA (tRNA) molecules are approximately 80 nucleotides in length. Their secondary structure includes four short double-helical elements and three loops (D, anti-codon, and T loops). Further hydrogen bonds mediate the characteristic L-shaped molecular structure. tRNAs have two regions of fundamental functional importance: the anti-codon, which is responsible for specific mRNA codon recognition, and the 3' end, to which the tRNAs corresponding amino acid is attached (by aminoacyl-tRNA synthetases). tRNAs cope with the degeneracy of the genetic code in two manners: having more than one tRNA (with a specific anti-codon) for a particular amino acid; and 'wobble' base-pairing, i.e. permitting non-standard base-pairing at the 3rd anti-codon position. RNAcentral also lists the same sequence under 2 other names. Lineage: Bacteria; Bacillati; Actinomycetota; Thermoleophilia; Gaiellales; Gaiellaceae. The record is from RNAcentral.